RNAcentral lists this ribosomal RNA (261 nucleotides) under uncultured archaeon. Its description in RNAcentral is "partial 16S ribosomal RNA". It matches the Rfam family "Archaeal small subunit ribosomal RNA", at positions 748 to 1008 of the family's 1478-position model. The record is from RNAcentral.
AGGGUGUAAACGCUGCAGACUUGGUGUUGGAGGCCCUUUGGGGGCAUUCAGUGCCGGAGAGAAGUUGUUAAGUCUGCUACUUGGGGAGUGCGUCCGCAAGGAUGAAACUUAAAGGAAUUGGCGGGGGAGCACCGCAACGGGAGGAGCGUGCGGUUUAAUUGGAUUCAACACCGUAAACCUCACCAGGGAAGACUGUUACAUGAAGGCCGAGAUGAAGACUCUGCUAGAUUUUCAGAGAGGAGGUGCAUGGCGUCAGUGACU